This 460-nucleotide ribosomal RNA is filed under the name uncultured bacterium. RNAcentral's name for it is "partial 16S ribosomal RNA". It matches the Rfam family "Bacterial small subunit ribosomal RNA", at positions 338 to 795 of the family's 1533-position model. The record is from RNAcentral.
UCUACGGGAGGCAGCAGUGAGGAAUAUUGGUCAAUGGCCGAGAGGCUGAACCAGCCAAGUCGCGUGAGGGAAGACGGCCCUACGGGUUGUAAACCUCUUUUGUAUGGGAAUAAAAUGUUCCACGUGUGGGAUUUUGUAUGUACCAUAUGAAUAAGGAUCGGCUAACUCCGUGCCAGCAGCCGCGGUAAUACGGAGGAUCCGAGCGUUAUCCGGAUUUAUUGGGUUUAAAGGGAGCGUAGGUGGAUUGUUAAGUCAGUUGUGAAAGUUUGCGGCUCAACCGUAAAAUUGCAGUUGAAACUGGCAGUCUUGAGUACAGUAGAGGUGGGCGGAAUUCGUGGUGUAGCGGUGAAAUGCUUAGAUAUCACGAAGAACUCCGAUUGCGAAGGCAGUUCACUGGACUGCAACUGACACUGAGGCUCGAAAGUGUGGGUAUCAAACAGGAUUAGAUACCCUUGUAGUC